This 393-nucleotide long non-coding RNA is filed under the name Lactuca sativa (garden lettuce). Its description in RNAcentral is "long non-coding RNA (LSAT_LNC008344)". The record is from RNAcentral. Lineage: Eukaryota; Viridiplantae; Streptophyta; Magnoliopsida; Asterales; Asteraceae.
AGGCUGAUAUGUAAUGGAAUUUCAAACAAAUCCAAAAUGUCUUUUAAAAGAAGCCCUUCGAUACUUCUCUACAAGUAUUUGAUUGUAAUUCACGGGAAACUACACAAGCUGUUGAUUAUCUCUCUUGAUGAUUAACGAAGCAACCUUUGCCUGGGGUUUNCUUAUGUUAAGGCUGAUAUGUAAUGAAAUUUAAAACCAAUCCAAAAUGUCUUUUAAAAGAAGCCCUUCGAUACUUCUCUACAAGUAUUCGAUUGUAAUUCACGGGAAACUACACAAGCUGUUGAUUAUCUCUCUUGAUGAUUAACGAAGCAACCUUUGCCUGGGGUUUCACUGCAUUCAUGUCAAAUUAAAUUUUUGACAUCACAAAAUUCCAAAUUUUUUGUUUCUCAUCUU